Molecule: ribosomal RNA, 497 nt
Filed under: uncultured bacterium
Lineage: Bacteria
Description: partial 16S ribosomal RNA
Rfam family: Bacterial small subunit ribosomal RNA
Source: RNAcentral
GAUGAACGCUGGCGGCGUGCCUAAUACAUGCAAGUCGAGCGAACAGACGAUGAGCUUGCUCCUCUGACGUUAGCGGCGGACGGGUGAGUAACACGUGGAUAACCUACCUAUAAGACUGGGAUAACUUCGGGAAACCGGAGCUAAUACCGGAUAAUAUAUUGAACCGCAUGGUUCAAGAGUGAAAGGCGGUUUUGCUGUCACUUAUAGAUGGAUCCGCGCCGCAUUAGCUAGUUGGUAAGGUAACGGCUUACCAAGGCGACGAUGCGUAGCCGACCUGAGAGGGUGAUCGGCCACACUGGAACUGAGACACGGUCCAGACUCCUACGGGAGGCAGCAGUAGGGAAUCUUCCGCAAUGGGCGAAAGCCUGACGGAGCAAAGCCGCGUGAGUGAUGAAGGUCUUCGGAUCGUAAAACUCUGUUAUUAGGGAAGAACAAAUGUGUAAGUAACUAUGCACGUCUUGACGGUACCUAAUCAGAAAGCCACGGCUAACUACGUG